UCAUCGAUCUUCUCCGCUCCGCGGUGCCCGUCCUCGCUUCACUGCUGCCAAAUCCGAAUGAGCUCAGCAGGAUCCGCAGCAUCCCGCGCAACGCCUAGCCGUUGUGCUUCACCUGGCAAUGGCCUCCUUCCGGUUCCGUUCGUCGCCGAUGGCGAGCACGCAUCAAAUUUCCAUGCCUUUUCCAGCCCUGCUGAUGGCGAGUUGCUCCCCAACCGAAGGAACGGGUCGAGGCCGUGGGAUCCAACCAACAAGCGUCCUUCGGCCGCAUCACCUUGCCACCUCCGCCACCUGGUCGCCCUCGAGCUGGCCCCCACUCCUCCAGCAAAAUCCCCUCCCCAAGGAGGACCAAGCCCCACCCCCCCACCCCGCACGCCUCUGCAUCCCCAAAACUAGAGACUGAAAUCAAGGGAUUUGAUCCCUGUGUGAUAGGGAAAAAGGAGAGGAAUAGCAGCAGGAAAGAGAAGGGAUUUUUGUUCCAGUAGGAAAGAUAAUCCUCACUCGUCGAUAAAGAGCAAGCUGGAGAUGGAACAUGGGAAUUGGGGGAAAAACAGAUCCAUGUGUUUGGCCAAUGCUAGCUUGGUGUGCGCCUCGUGGUUGAGAGAGAAGGAGGACCUUUGCAGGGUGAUCAAAGGAUGUGCUCGGUCUCUGUUGGUCCAAAUCUCAGCUCCUUCCUUGGUGCCACGCUUUGGUGGCUUUCGCUGCUCGGCAUCCCCCGUCCUAACUCUCCGUCCGCAUCCUUCCGCCAGAGAUGCACCAACUACUUUGAGGUGCAAAACAGAGCAGCGCUCCCACAAUUUUUUAUCAGAUCCAUAUCUUUUUUUGGGGGGGGGGGGGGGGGGGGGGGGGCGUAUUGACUUCGCCACAUAUUAUUCUGUCAUGCAGGUCCGCAUCCCGGCGACAUCUUCUUUGCACCACUUCACAGACAAUAACCUCCGCUGCUACACUCUUAGAAUUGCAUGUGUAGGUUGAUUGCUUGACUUGUACUAGUUGCUAAAAUCCGCUAACAAUUAAAAUUGGGAAAAUGUUAGAUUUUUAUUUUGUCAAGUAGUCUAAUCACCCCCCCCCCCCCCCCCCUCUAGACCUACUUUCGAUCCUACAAAGAACAAUUUGAUUUGGAAGUUAGAAGCAAUGAAAUUGUAAAACCAAAGCAACAUUGGUUAGGGUUCCUAGGAGCCGCGCUAGCUUUUUCCUACAUAAAAGUAUGAUUUGAACUAAGAAAUCAGUUUAGUUUGUGGGUUUGAAGUACCACAUAUAAGCUUGGUCCAUGUGAAUUGGCACACUGUUUGGAACAAAAUAAAACUUAGCAGUACAGUUUGGUAGUUAAAAUACUCCUUACCUCGACAUUCUGAUAAUAUGUAAUAAUGAUAGUUGGCAUUGGUCAUGCAAGAUCACUUGGAAAUUGGUGGCUUGGUUCUGUUGUACUCCCUCCGUCUGAAAAUACUUGUCAUCGAAAUGGAUAGAAAAGGAUGUAUCUAAAACUAAAAUACAUCUAGAUACAUCCCCUUUUAUUCAUUUUGAUGACAAGUAUUUCCGGACGGAGGAAUACUUUACAAUUUGUAUUACUUCAGCCUUGAUUAGCUCCAGGAGGCCGUGCUCCCUGAUGGAUUUGUUGUCGAAGAUGCUCAAGUAAUGGACUGAUGAUAUAACUGACAUUUCAUAACAUCUCCUCCAUGCAUGCAUGGUUUGCUCCCUUUUGCCAUAUUUUAAAUACUCAUCUUAUAUAUCUUUGUGAUCUGAGCCCUUAGAGAAACUAGAUUCCGAUCUUCUGGUCUUGCCUACGAAUGUUUUUUUCAAAGUGGUUCAGUUCCAGUCCAUACAGAUUAGUCAUAUUAUGAGUUGCAGGAACCUUUCUUUAGUUUUAGCAUAUGUGCAGUUCUGUUUUCUUGCGAUGUGAACACUAAUGAACAGAAAAACCUUAUGCCGCAUUAUUAUUUACAUGCAUGAAGUCUUUAAAGUUAGUUUUCUGUUAUAAAAUCAUUUGUCAGCGACUGAAUCAAAGGGAAAUUUAUGAAAAGUGAACCAACAGAGAAACUGUAGUAAUUCCAAGCUAAUUUUAUAAAUUCACCCCAGUGAACUUCUGUGUAAAUUGUCCUUUUAUUCCCAUAUCUUGGAAUAUAAAUGAUGAACCUCAAAUUUUUUUUCAUCGUUGUUUUGUAUGGUGGCCAUGGCUACAUAAGAACGAUAGUAUACAUCAAUUUGUGUUGAUGUAUGAAGGUAAACUGUCAAAAUUUAUCCUUGCUUAUUAUACUUAUCUUCACAAUAGAUAUAUGGAGAUCGCGGUUAGUUAUUUAGCUCUUCCGCAGCCCAGCUGCAAUUCCUAAACGUUGGGGCAGACACUCAAAAGCGCCUCCUAGAGCAGUAGAGAUGUCGUCUCUGCCACGUUAACACAUUAAUCGGUGGAUCUGAAUGUGUAGAUUUGCAGCCUUCAAAUUUAGAACUAGCAGAUUUUUGCUUCUACUGUUACUUACAAAGAAUAUUAUCUCAUGUGCCUAACUUAUAUAUACAUAAUUUCUAGACUUCCAUGAUGUGCCUAACUUAAAUGUGGCAGAUAUCAGCAUGCUGUUAUCAGAACGCUACUGUUGCAUCAUCACAACACAAGAUUUCCAUGAUAUUCAUGGGCAAACUACUUUUAAUACGAGUCCCUCUCUUAUCAUGCAUCCAUUGGUUCGUGUAACCUUUUUACCGGUUCACUAUAUACAUGCAGGAAUCUGGAUUAUGUAGACUAUGGUAAAGUGGGUUUUAUCGGGUUAGUGUAUCUCAUACAUUAAACACUUCUCCCAACAGUAGGCAUUCAAGCUCUCUUUCAUAUGCUUCUUCAUCCUACUUUGGCUGCCUAAUAGCCUUCUGAUAUAGGAACACAUUAAAAACGAUACUGGACAUUGUUCGUGACCAGUGAAAAAAUUAUUCUGCCUAUUUCAUCUCACAUGUGUGCCUUACAUCUGUAUGUGUAUAUUCUUUGUUUCUUUUCUGUAGUGAUCUUCAUCCUUUUUGCUAUCCAUCCAGAACUGAUACAUUUUAGUUUAUCCUGCCAUUUUACUAGCUAGAGACACAAAAAUCUUUGGUGGAGCAAGUCAUACGAAAAAUAUGAAAUUUUGUUGUUGUAGUUAGGUGGCGAUCAUUCAUAGGAUUGUUUCUUACUGAUAAUGACAUGCUAAUUCAUCUUUUAUUUCUGUUUUAAGUAACUAACUCUACAGAUUAGCGUACAUGUUAUUUAAAAACAAGGGGUUUGCCAUGAUACAACAUAUUUCUGAGUAAUUUUAUCUAUUGUACUUAGUAUUUUGAUUGAAACAUGAAUAUUUUCCUCAAACAUAUUGUUUCGUAGUCACCGGGCACGAUAAUGGAACUUCAACUCAAUGAAAAAUGCAAGAGAGAGCAC
Molecule: long non-coding RNA, 3376 nt
Organism: Triticum aestivum (bread wheat)
Lineage: Eukaryota; Viridiplantae; Streptophyta; Magnoliopsida; Poales; Poaceae
Exons: 2
Source: RefSeq, a predicted model, not a curated record